Rattus norvegicus (Norway rat) is the source of this 69-nucleotide non-coding RNA. The record is from Rfam. NCBI's taxonomy places the organism in Eukaryota, Metazoa, Chordata, Mammalia, Rodentia, Muridae.
GGGGGUUUAGCUCAGCGGUAGAGCGCUUGCCUAGCAAGCGCAAGGCCCUGGGUUCGGUCCCCAGCUCCG